CCUACGGGUGGCAGCAGUGGGGAAUAUUGCGCAAUGGGCGAAAGCCUGACGCAGCGACGCCGCGUGAGGGAUGAAGGUCUUCGGAUUGUUAACCUCUGUCAGUAGGGAAGUACGGUCACUGUGCUAUUCAGCAGUGAAUUGACGGUACCUGUAAAGAAAGCAUCGGCUAACGCCGUGCCAGCAGCCGCGGCAAUACGGAGGGUGCGAGCGUUAAUCGGAUUUACUGGGCGUAAAGCGCUCGUAGGCGGUAUGUCAAGUCAAGGGUGAAAUCCCCGCGCUCAACGUGGGAACUGCCUUUGAAACUGGCAAACUGGAGUGUGGGAGAGGAUAGUGGAAUUCCAGGUGUAGGAGUGAAAUCCGUAGAUAUCUGGAGGAACAUCAGUGGCGAAGGCGACUAUCUGGCACAUAACUGACGCUGAGGAGCGAAAGCGUGGGUAGCAAACAGGAUUAGAUACCCUUGUAGUC
Molecule: ribosomal RNA, 465 nt
Filed under: uncultured bacterium
Lineage: Bacteria
Description: partial 16S ribosomal RNA
Rfam family: Bacterial small subunit ribosomal RNA
Source: RNAcentral